UUUUUCUUUCCUCUCUUGGUCCCGUCCCCAUCCCCUCGCCUUUAUUUACUGGUUCCCUCACUCUUUUGCGUUAGUAUGGCUUUGUAAAUGGUCCAAGUCGGACCGAAACGUCAUCUUAAGCUUCUCUCUCCUAUGUGCGGGUUAUUUGUUUAUGUUUGUGUAUAGUCUAAGUAAGAAUGUUCUCAUUCUAGAACGAGGUAAAGUAAUUAUUACCUUAAUUAGUAACAUUGGUAGUUUCAGUGUAAUUAGCAAUGGGGGUUAAAUAAUAUUGGAGAAAUUUUCAUAGAAUUAUUUUUCUGAGAAUUACCAAUCGAAUUUUGAGGUGCAAAGGCUAUGACGGAUGCAGGAGCUAAUCAGGUGCACGACACUCAUCAGGUGGAUGAGCUAAUCAGGAGCAGCAACAAAUCAGGCGCAGGAGCUAAUCAGGUGCAGCAGCAAAUCAGGUGCAGAAGCUAAUCAGAUGCAGCAGCAAAUCAGGUGCAGGAGCUAAUCAGGUGCAGGAACUAAUCAGGUGCAGAAGUUAAUCAGGUGCAGAAGCUAAUCAGGUGCAGGAACUAAUCAAGUGCAGGAGCUAAUCAGGUACAGGAACUAAUCAGGCAAAGGAGCUAAUCAGGUGCAGGAGCUCAUCAGGUGGACAAGCUAAUCAGAUGCACGAACUCAUCAGGUGGAGGAGCUAAUCAGGUGCAGAAGCUAAUCAGGUGCAGAAGCUGAUCAAGUGAAGGAACUAAUCAGGUGCAGAAGCUAAUCAGGUGCAGAAGCUGAUCAAGUGAAGGAACUAAAUCAGGUGCAGAAGCUAAUCAACGCAGGAACUAAUCAGGUAAAGGAGCUAAACAGGUGCAGGAGCUCAUCAGGUGAAGAAGCUAAUCAGGUGCAGGAGCUAAUCAGGUGCAGGAGCUAAUCAGGUGCAGGAGCUAAUCAUGUGCAGGAGCUAAUCAAGUGAAGGAGCUAAUCAGGUGCAGGAGCUAAUCAGGUACAGGAAUUAAUCAGGCAAAGGAGCUAAUCAGGUGCAGGAGCUCAUCAGGUCAAGAAGCUAAUCAGGUGCAGGAGCUAAUCAAGUGAAGGAGCUAAUCAGGUGCAAGAACUAAUCAGGCGGAGGAGCUAAUCAGGUGCGGGAACUAAUCAGGCCGGUGCAGGAACUAAUCAGGUGCAGGAGCUAAUCAUGUGCAGGAACUAAUCAGGUGCAGAAGCUAAUCAUGUGCAGGAGCUAAUCAAGUGCAGGAGCUAAUCAGGUGCAAGAACUAAUCAGGCGGAGGAGCUAAUCAGGUGCGGGAACUAAUCAGGCCGGUGCAGGAACUAAUCAGGUGCAGGAGCUAAUCAUGUGCAGGAGCUAAUCAAGUGAAGGAGCUAAUCAGGUGCAGGAGCUCAUCAGGUCAAGAAGCUAAUCAGGUGAGGCAGCAAAUCAGGUACAGGAGCUAAUCAGGUGCAAGAACUAAUCAAGCGGAGGAGCUAAUCAGGUGCAGGAGCUAAUCAAGUGCAGGAAUUAAUCAGGUAAAGGAGCUAAUCAGGUGCAGGAGCUCAUCAGUUAAAGAAGCUAAUCAGGUGCAGGAACUAACCAUGUGCAGGAGCUAAUCAAGUGAAGGAGCUAAUCAGGUGCAGCAGCAAAUCUGGUACAGGAGCUAAUCAGGUACAGGAACUAAUCAGGUGCAUUAGCUAAUCAGGUGCAGGAGCUAAUCAGGCGCAGGAACUAAUCAGGUGCAGGAGCUGAUCAGGUGCAGGAGCUAAUUAGGUGAAGAAGCUAAUCAGGUGCAGGAGCUAAUCAGGUGAAGGAGCUAGUCAGGUGCAGGAGCUAAUCAGAUGCAAGUGCUAAUCAGGUGAAGCAGCAAAUCAGGUGAAGAAGUUAAUCAGGUGCGGGAGCUAAUCAGGUGCAGGAGAUAAUCAGGUGCAGGAGCUAAUCAGGUGCAGGAGCUAAUCAGGUGUAGGAACUAAUCAGGUGCAGGAGCUAAUCAGGUGCAGGAACUAAUCAGGUGCAGGAGCUAAUCAGGUGCAGGAACUAAUCAGGUGCAGGAGCUAAUCAGGUGCAGGAGCUAAUCAGGUGCAGGAGCUAAUCAGGUGCAGGAGCUAAUCAGGUGUAGGAACUAAUCAGGUGCAGGAACUAACCAUGUGCAGGAGGUAAUCAAGUGAAGGAGCUAAUCAGGUGCAGCAGCAAAUCAGGUACAGGAGCUAAUCAGGUACAGGAACUAAUCAGGUGCACUAUCUAAUCAGGUGCAGGAGCUAAUCAGGUGCAGGAGUUUAUCAGAUGGAAAAGCUAAUCAGGUGCAGGAGCUAAUCAUGUGCAGAAGCUAAUCAGGCGCAGCAACUAAUCAGGUGCAGCAGCAAAUCAGGUGCAGGAGCUAAUCAAGUACAGGAACUAAUCAUGUGCAGGAGCUAAUCAGGUGCAGAAGCUAUUCAGGUGCAGGCUCUGAACAGGUGCAGGAGCUAAUCAGGUGCAAAAGCUAAUCAGGGGCAGCAACUAAUCAGGUGCAGAUGCUAAUCAGGGGCAGGAGCUAAUCAGGUGAAGAAGCUAAUCAGGUGAAGAAGUUAAUCAGGUGCAGGAGCUAAUCAGAUGCAGGAGCUAAUCAGGUACAGGAGCUAACCAGGUGCAAGAGUUAAUCAGGUGCAGGAGCUAAUCAGGAGCAGGAACUAAUCAGGUACAGGAACUAAUCAGGUGCAUAAGCUAAUCAGGUGCAGGAAUUAAUCAGGUGAAGAAGCUAAUCAGGUGCAUUAGCUAACCAGGUUCAUUAGCUAAGCAGGUGCAGGAGCUAAUCAGGCGCAGGAACUAAUCAGGUGCAGGAGCUGAUCAGGUGCAGGAGCUAAUCAGGUGAAGAAGCUAAUCAGGUGCAGGAGCUAAUCAGGUGAAGGAGCUAGUCAGGUGCAGGAGCUAAUCAGAUGCAAGAGCUAAUCAGGUGAAGCAGCAAAUCAGGUGAAGAAGUUAAUCAGGUGCGGGAGCUAAUUAGAUGCAGGAGAUAAUCAGGUGCAGGAGCUAAUCAGGCGCAGGAGCUAAUCAGGUGUAGGAACUAAUCAGGUGCAGGAGCUAAUCAGGUGCAGGAACUAAUCAGGUGCAGGAGCUAAUCAGGUGCAGGAGCUAAUCAGGUGCAGGAACUAAUCAGGUGCAGGAGCUAAUCAGGUGCAGGAACUAAUCAGGUGCAGGAGCUAAUGAGGUGCAGGAGCUAAUCAGGUACAGAAACUAAUCAGGAGCAAUAUUUAAAUCAUAUGUAUGAACAAGUCAGGCACAGAGUUCCGGGGGUCAACGCCCCCAGGACCCAGUCUUUGACUAGUCAUCAUGGUGGAUCAGGGUCUGAUCAACCAGGUUGUUACCGUUGGCCGCACGCAAUCCGACGUACGAACCACAGCCCGGUUGGUCAGGUACUGACUUUAGGUGCCUGUCCAGUGCCUGCUUGAAGAC
This is a non-coding RNA of Cherax quadricarinatus, 3382 nucleotides long. NCBI's taxonomy places the organism in Eukaryota, Metazoa, Arthropoda, Malacostraca, Decapoda, Parastacidae. The record is from RefSeq and is a predicted model, not a curated record.